UUGGAUGAUGAGAAACAA
RNAcentral lists this small nuclear RNA (18 nucleotides) under Arabidopsis thaliana (thale cress). Its description in RNAcentral is "snRNA_11522". The record is from RNAcentral. Lineage: Eukaryota; Viridiplantae; Streptophyta; Magnoliopsida; Brassicales; Brassicaceae.